ACGAACGCUGGCGGCGUGCUUAACCCAUGCAAGUCGAACGGGCCCGCUCUCUUUUUUGGGGGUGGGUUGAGUGGCGAACGGGUGAGUAUCACGUGAGUAACCUGCCCCCUGCUCCUGGAUAACUGCUUGAAAGGGCGGCUAAUACGGGGUGUGCCGGCUGGUCCGCAUGGGCCUGGUCGGGAUAGUUUCAUCUUCGGGUGUUUCGGUGGGGGAUGGGCUCGCGGCCUAUCAGCUUGUUGGUGGGGUGAUGGCCCACCAAGGCGGUGACGGGUAGCCGGCCUGAGAGGGUGGGCGGCCACACUGGGACUGAGACACGGCCCAGACUCCUGCGGGAGGCAGCAGUGGGGGGUAUUGCACAAUGGGCGGAAGCCUGAUGCAGCGACGUCGCGUGAGGGAUGGAGGCCUUCGGGUUGUGAACCUCUUUCUCCGGUGGUGAAGGCCCUGUCCGUUGCGGCGGGGUUGACGGUAGCCGGGUAUGAAGCGCCGGCUAACUACGUG
Molecule: ribosomal RNA, 498 nt
Filed under: uncultured bacterium
Lineage: Bacteria
Description: partial 16S ribosomal RNA
Rfam family: Bacterial small subunit ribosomal RNA
Source: RNAcentral